UACGAAGGGGGCUAGCGUUGUUCGGAAUUACUGGGCGUAAAGCGCGCGCAGGCGGCCUUGCAAGUCAGAGGUGAAAUCCCAGAGCUUAACUCCGGAAUUGCCUUUGAGACUGCUUGGCUUCGAGUACGGGAGAGGUGAGUGGAAUUCCCAGUGUAGAGGUGAAAUUCGUAGGUAUUGGGAAGAACACCGGUGGCGAAGGCGGCUCACUGGCCCGUUACUGACGCUCAGGCGCGACAGCGUGGGGAUCAAACAGG
RNAcentral lists this ribosomal RNA (254 nucleotides) under uncultured prokaryote. RNAcentral's name for it is "partial 16S ribosomal RNA". It matches the Rfam family "Bacterial small subunit ribosomal RNA", at positions 524 to 776 of the family's 1533-position model. The record is from RNAcentral.